RNAcentral lists this ribosomal RNA (301 nucleotides) under uncultured bacterium. Its description in RNAcentral is "partial 16S ribosomal RNA". It matches the Rfam family "Bacterial small subunit ribosomal RNA", at positions 509 to 808 of the family's 1533-position model. The record is from RNAcentral.
CAGCCGCCGCGGGAAUACGUAGGUGGCAAGCGUUGUCCGGAGUUAUUGGGCGUAAAGGGCUCGCAGGCGGUUUCUUAAGUCUGAUGUGAAAGCCCCCGGCUCAACCGGGGAGGGUCAUUGGAAACUGGGAAACUUGAGUGCAGAAGAGGAGAGUGGAAUUCCACGUGUAGCGGUGAAAUGCGUAGAGAUGUGGAGGAACACCAGUGGCGAAGGCGACUCUCUGGUCUGUAACUGACGCUCAUGCACGAAAGCGUGGGGAGCAAACAGGAUUAGAUCCCCAGUAGUCCCUGUCUCUUAUACA